RNAcentral lists this non-coding RNA (30 nucleotides) under Homo sapiens (human). Lineage: Eukaryota; Metazoa; Chordata; Mammalia; Primates; Hominidae. The record is from RNAcentral.
UCCUUUUUAAUGCCUGGAUUGACUUUGUGU